UUUUUCUCUAACCAUACUAAGAAUUGAGCAAUUUUCCUCCCUAGGUCCCACCCCGACACUGGUUAGACUAGUUUGCCUGUAGUGUGGUCUCUGCUGACAUCAACACUUCAUUGGGAUAGGAAGUUGGCACAUUAUUGCAGAGUUCCCAUUAUUGCCCCGUAGGAGGCUGUCACUUCCCCAAACUGCACUAGCUCUGGUGCCAAUCUCUCACUCACGCAUCCUCCUCCUGACUGCUGGGAGCACACAGGCAUGCUGCAUGUCACCUGCUCCUCGGGCUUUUGACAAUCUCCUUCCUUUGUUUCCAAAUCCUAAGCAAAUUGCUCGGUUGACAAUCAAAGCCUACUAACAUCAAACAGCUGCUAUAGACAGGUGUGUUCUACAGUUACCUGCUGUUUGCUUUCCUCAGCAGGGACUGAUAUGACAAACAAAACCAAGAGCUGGGUGCCGACGUUCAGAGUCACUCCUGCAAGCUCAACCUAGUGUCUGUUUCUUUGGCUUCCCUGGUAUUUUUCAGACUUGGAAAUUCACCCUACCUGUGGCCUCCCUCAGUCCUACAGUGUGUGGCUGGCUAGGGUGUUGUAAAACCCUGCUGAUUCUUGCAGUUCUUUGCAAAAAGCUAGGAAUCACAGUGGCUGCAUUGAAACAAAGAGGUUGCCCAGUUCUGGAAUCUUUGGUUUAUAAAUGGCACCCAGUCUCCUUCAAAUAUUUUCCACUUUUCUUUCUUGUUAGUGCACUUAUAUGAGUGCUGUCUCCUGAUUUCUGCUUUUAGCAGAAAAUAUCUCAGGUUCUCACCUUUGAAAGUUGCUCUAAACACCCUGGAGCAUGUCUGGUCACUUAAUCCCCCACCACUGGUGGGUAAGAGGGUGUGGUAGGUUGGAGGUGAAAUGGAUUUCCAACUUUCCAAUGUUCCUUCCUAUACUUUGGAGUCUGGAAAACUAGCAACCAUUGUUUUCCACGUUCUUUUCUAUUUUUCAGAUGCGUUUGUCCCUGGGUCUCUGGAUGUGAUUUAAGUUCUGCCAGUCAGACGUGCCCAGAUGAAAUGUGGAAGGGGAAGUGAGUCAGAGCUCAUGUUUUCUGGGGCUGCUGUUUCUCCGGCAGCACCAUCAUGGUUGUGUCAGGGUUUUCUGUGGCAAGUACGGAUGGUGGCCACUUUCUAAUUAUAUCACUUCCUGAUCUUGGUGGCUUCCUGAUCACCAACGAGGCAGCAGUUUCCUUGGUGCCCUGGUGUUCAAGCCACUCCUGAAAGCUCAAUCUAGUGUCUGUUUCUUCAGCUCUCCUGGUAAUUUUGAUGACAGGCCAGGACACUCUGGAUGCCAUCCUCAGUGUGUCUAGGCUGUGACUCUGACUUUCUGGGCCAGGACCAGGGCCUUACAGUGCAGGAGAAAGACAGAGAUGUGGAAGCUUCAUGGGGAGGCUUUAAAAACAGGUGAGCCAAGAUUUGGAGGAACCACUGGGAUGCUCACUCGUGGCCAUGACAUCAGCAUUCCAGGAGGGCAGCUCCACAGAUAAGUCACUCCUGAUACUGCUGGCAGCUCACCAUCAGGAACAAUGCACUGAAAUGCAUACGGCCUUUGUAAUGCGCAUUUACAUUGAUCUAACCACUUUCUGGGAAACUCACAACAGUCCAUGGGUGUGAUUAUUGUUAUUUCCAUAUUGCAGAUGAUGGAGCUAAGGCCCCAGGAGGUUAACUGACUUGCCCAAGGCCAUAUUGCCUGUAUGUGAUAUAGCUGGGAUUCAAAUCCAGGUAGUUUGGUUUGAGAGUCCACACUGUUAAUCAUCGCUUCCCGGCGCACUGCUUUUAGCUGAACUCAACGUGCCAACGAUUACCGUAGCUAAAAGUAACAAUAGCAAAGGAGGCUAGGAAAUGCUUACCUCCCUAAAAGUUUUAUAGUGAACUUCAUGUGAAUCAUGUUAUCACCCAGACUGCACGUGAUCUCAACAUUUUAAAAAUAUGCCUGUAGAAAGGGGAUUUUAAAUUGGAAAAGAUGAGUCCUUCCCAUUACUUUAUGUUUCAGAGUUGGAAGGAAUACAAGCUUUCUGAGGAAGGCAGCGCUGUGGCUCCAAUGGCCUGGAGCUCCAUUUUGUCUCGGUAGCCACCCUGGAAUGGUGGGUCAGAUGGUAGAGAGGCUUAGAGGCUCAGUAAAGAAGUUUGGGCUUGGCACUGAGUCCCUGGAGAUUUUCAAGUGGAGACAGAUGGGAUGAACUAAUGUUCUGCUACAAUCAGGCUGACAGUGCAGAGUGCAGGGUGAAGGGAGAUGGAAGAUGGAGAGGCCAAUGAGAAGGCUGCUGCACAUGAGGAGGAGGCUGGGCUAGGAUUGAAGGAGAGGGAAUGAAAAGAUGGUGAUGGCCUCAGAAAUGAAAGGAAAAGCCACAGGGCUUGUGAUUAAUUGGAUCCUGGGGUGGGAGAAGCAGACAUGGAGGUUUUCAGCCAGAAGCAAGAGAAUCAAGAAGAAAAAGGGAUGGUUUUGAGAGAAACAAUAUUCAGACCCACUGAAUUUUAGGAGAGAUAGGGGCACUAAGUUGCAAGGCUAAUAGGUAGUAGGAGAUCUUGUGCUGGGACACAGAGAAUAACUCAAGCUUGUGGUUUAGUAGAGAAAUGGAAAUUGCAGCAUUGAGAAUUAGAGGAGGUUGUGAGAGGAGGGCUGAGAACUAAGAGGUAACUCCAGCAUCAACAAGGGUGAAGGUGGAGAGCCUCUCAUAGAGCCUGGCAGGAAAACCACUGGUGACAUUUGAGAGUACAGUCCAGGUUCCCCAGAGAAAGAGAACCAGUAGGGCAUGUGUGUGUGUGUGUGUGUGUGUGUGUGUGUGCAUAUUGAUAUACACACACAUAUACAUAUAUAAAGAAAUUUAUCAUAAGAAAUUGGCUCACAUGAAUAUGAAGGCUAAGUCCCAAGAUCUACAGUCAGCAAGAAGGAGACCCAGGAGAGUCAAUGUGUAGUUCCAGUGAGAGUCCAAAUACCUGAGCAUAGUACAAAUUUCAGUCCAAAAGCUAGCAGACUUAAGACCUAAGAAGAGCCAAUGUUUCAGUACACAUUUAAAGGUCAGAAAAAGCCAAUGUCCCAGCUCAGAUAGCCAGGCAGGAGAAGCUCCCUCUUGGCCUUUUUGGUCUGAAUUUUUGGCCUUCCACUGAUAGGGUGAGACCCACUCACAUUAGGGAGGACAAUCUGCUUUACUCAGUCCACCAAUUCAAAUGUUAAACUCAUCCACAAACACCCUCAUACACACACCCAAGAUAAUGUGUGGCCAAAUGUCUGGGCACCCUGUAGCCCAAUCGAGCUGAUACAUAAAAUUCAUCACCACAGUGCCAUGAAGUUAGCUUGUGGAAGGCUAAUGAAGAAAUGUGUGGUAGGGAAAAGGAUGCAGGAAGACACAGACGACCCACUUGAGAAUGCUGUCAGCCAAAAGAAGCAGAAAAAUCUGAAUGGGCAGCAGGGUUACCCAACAUUUCUUUACAUGAUAAAAGAGACCUUCUGACUUGAUGCUUUUAUGCUAAUCCAUGUAGACAUUUGUUCUGUCAUUCCUUUUCCCCCAGCUUAUUAAAUUGAAUAUAUAAUUUUCCAUUCUAAUUAUAUUUUCCCAAAGGUAACUUUAAAGUAGUUUGCAUUUUUGGCAGGCAUGCCAACUAUUGGCAGAAGCAGGUGGCUCAGAAGGGCUCUGGGGCAAAGGAAUAAUCCAGUUCAUAAUCUAAAAUGUGCUGUGGAUAAAGAUGCAUGCCACUUACAAGGAUAUUAUCAAAGUUAAUUUUUCUGUGUGAUUCGUGGCUUUUCAACAUUGGUGCAGAAGAAUGGAUGUUUCCUGUCAGCGUCUUGACCGCCUUAGUGUUCACUUAAAAGAAAUACAGGGAAGUACACCUUUCAGGCAUUGGUGCGAGAUGGGUCAGAAAGGAGCCAAAGAACCCGCAGUUGUGUCAGCUGGGGCAGGUGGUAAGUUGGCUGAGGCACAGUGACAUGUCCUUGCAUUGGUCCCCAUCUGAUCAGUGCAAUGAUCACAAUGGAGGACUUGAGACUCUGCAGAAUGUUAAGUGUAAAGAGUGAUGAAAUCCUUUUUGAGCGUGCAAACUGUUUGCUAGAAUCCUAGUUCCAUGUUUCACCAGCGUGGCUGCCUUUUCUCCACACACCUCCGCUCUUAGACAGAUCCCACAUAGCCAGUGGGCCUGGACACUCAGCCCCGGUGAGCCCUCUUCCUGGAAACCCCAUAUCUUCCAUCACUUAGUCUCUUAAAGAAGAGCGUACAAAUAGCCCUCAAAUAGCGCUUGUGUCCAGAAAGCGACAUGCACAGCAUGCCUGUAUCUCUACUCCAAGCAUCCCAGGUAGGUUGGCUUUGCAUGAUAUGUAAGUUGCUGCCAAACAUGCCCAUUAGCUGUCAUUUCUCACUGACUUCACUGUUUUCUUACUUUUAUUUUAAAGGUCAUCUCUGUAUUUCCAGUUGAGACCCACUUAUUAAUUUACAAUGAUACUGUACAUAUAUUUUCAGUUAUUAUAUAUUGUUAUCAUAUAUAGUUAUCUAUAUAUCAUUUUGUAUAUAGAUAUCUGUAUAUAUGAUAUUAUCUGUAUAUAUUAUCCAUGCAUGUACUAUCUGUAUAUAUGUAUAUAUAACUGUAUAUCAUAUUCUUAAAUAUACAUUGUCAUCAUAAUAUAUGUAAAAUUCAAUAUAUGGAGACAUCUAUCUUCUCAAUUUUUUCUAAAAUAUAAUAACAAAUUAUACUCAAAUAAUCUAACCAGAGCAUUUAUUAAGUACCCAUGUGCUCAGUAUUAGUUUAAGCCCCAUGGGAUACAGAACAAAUACAAGACAUAAUAUUGACCCUCAGGUUGACCACACACAAGCUGGGAAACGAGACCCAUACACGAGAAGUGACAAUGAACUCUGACAAUGAACUCUCCUGGCUAUUUGGCCAUGGGAGGCACAUGCAGAAGAUGGAAAGGCAGCAGGGCAUGUUUUCCCUGUUCUUACCCUGCUUCAGCCUCUCUGGGAAGGUCACAUCCUUCUCUGACUACAGCCACUGCUGGGCCGUUCCCCCAGCUCUCACUGGCUCUGGUCCUUCCAUUGUUCCUUUCACCCUAUGGGUAGUAACAGCUUCCUGGUGUUGUUAGUCUUUGGGCACCUUUCCUUGCUUGUUCUCAUACCCCUGUCUAUUCCUCUGUCAGUAGCCCCUUCCUUAAAUUCCAUCCACCUGUACCAUUAGGAGUGAAUUCUGUUUCCUCCUGGGACUCUGACGGAUGCAGCGAAACUUACGAAGUUGCAGGUAGGGGGUUGCUUCACUUGUUGGUAAAGAUUUUAAUGUGUCAACCAGAACAAAUACUUGUUUGAUAAAGGAGAAAGGAGUUGGCCUUCCCCAGCAGGAGAGUAGGAGGAGCUUUGAAAGCAGACAGAUGACUUAUAGAGAGCAAAAGCAAGGGCUUGAAGUGAACAAGUUGGCAUUUUGGUGUAGACAAGUCUGAUCUGUACAGCUAAUUUUUAGACUUUAAAAAGUUAAAUGAAUCCUUCCUGGAGGCUUAUGCUUCCUGUCCUGUCACUUGUUUGAAGAGAGAGCUACAUCAAAGCCCCAGGCACCAGAAUUCCCCAGAACCCAAACUUCACAGUCCUGCUGGGGGACACCUCAGAUCCCCAAUUAGGAGGAUGGAGUGCAGGUGAGCAAGGAACCCCCUCCUGCUUUAAUUACUCCUGGCAUAAUAUUCUUUUUCAAGCUUUGCUAAUUGAAAUUAAACAGCUGCCACAUUUGGACAGGGACAAAAAAGAAUCAAUUUUUCAGCUUUCUCUGAUGUAAUAGAGACUGACAGGCUAUGAGGAAAACAGGGGCAAUUUCCCUCCCACGGCUACUGGGUCACCAGUGGUUGACUCAAAGCAAAACACAGUGUUGAGGUGAAGUCUUCCCUAGUACAGUAAGAGUGAUGCUAGCCAGGGGUUCUCAGGACAAAUGACACAUUAAGUUCGUCUCAUGGCCACCUUUACUAAAAUGAUCCAGUAGCCGACUCUUUUGUAGCCCAAGAUUACCAAGAUCUUCCAUAUGCCAGAAGGGGCUAGAAAUAGUCCCCUGCCAAGUGGAUUCUUUGCUAGGUAAGUUCUUUAACAGUUGGUGAAGGGUGGCAAGGGAUGGUUUUAUCACCUUAGAGGACAGAUUAGUAAAGGGAAGGUGAAGGAAAAGAGAUUCUACAAUGCACUUAAGGGUGUGCUAGGUGCUUUCAGAGAAGUUGUCUUUGUCAGGCCCUAUGGCAACAUAGGGACUUAGGUCUUAUGAAACAAACUAGACUUGGAGCUUGGGGGCUUAGGUCUGUGUGUGGUGAGUGUGAUAUGGUCAAAAGGCUUGGAUAAAAAUCAGUGACCAGAACAGUUGGCCUUCCUCCCACCUCCCAGACUCAGUGCACAGAACACCAGAGGCAAGGCAUCUGUCCCCCAGGCAGAAAACCAGAAGUUUCUUCUCUGAAUAAACUAGAUGGCCCUAGGGACUAAACUUCCCCAUACAAACAUUCUCUACUUAAUAACCUUAAAGUGAAGCCUGUUAGUUGGCAAGUCCUGCUCCCACUCCCAAAGAAAAUGCUCCCUGUUUAGAAUCUCACAUUUAAAUACAGUGACAGGCAAGGAUUUUUGAGGAAAACCUCUGAAUGAAAGGAAACAAAAAUAGACAAACAGAAAGAGAAAUAAUGCAGAGAACAGAAAAUAAACUUAAAAAAGAAAAAAACCUUCUAGUUCAUAUCUUUAGAGAGAUUUGAGAAGAUGUUAUGCAAAGAGAACAAUUGGAGAAUAAGAAAGAAUUCUUAGAAUUUAAAAAUAGAAUUUCUAGGGCCCGGCAUAGUGGCUCAUGCCUGUAAUCCCAGC
Molecule: long non-coding RNA, 6813 nt
Filed under: Homo sapiens (human)
Lineage: Eukaryota; Metazoa; Chordata; Mammalia; Primates; Hominidae
Description: HSALNT0386794
Source: RNAcentral